UGCAAGUCGAGCGGUAGAGAGAAGCUUGCUUCUCUUGAGAGCGGCGGACGGGUGAGUAAUGCCUAGGAAUCUGCCUGGUAGUGGGGGAUAACGUUCGGAAACGGACGCUAAUACCGCAUACGUCCUACGGGAGAAAGCAGGGGACCUUCGGGCCUUGCGCUAUCAGAUGAGCCUAGGUCGGAUUAGCUAGUUGGUGGGGUAAUGGCUCACCAAGGCGACGAUCCGUAACUGGUCUGAGAGGAUGAUCAGUCACACUGGAACUGAGACACGGUCCAGACUCCUACGGGAGGCAGCAGUGGGGAAUAUUGGACAAUGGGCGAAAGCCUGAUCCAGCCAUGCCGCGUGUGUGAAGAAGGUCUUCGGAUUGUAAAGCACUUUAAGUUGGGAGGAAGGGUUGUAGAUUAAUACUCUGCAAUUUUGACGUUACCGACAGAAUAAGCACCGGCUAACUCUGUGCCAGCAGCCGCGGUAAUACAGAGGGUGCAAGCGUUAAUCGGAAUUACUGGGCGUAAAGCGCGCGUAGGUGGUUUGUUAAGUUGGAUGUGAAAUCCCCGGGCUCAACCUGGGAACUGCAUUCAAAACUGACUGACUAGAGUAUGGUAGAGGGUGGUGGAAUUUCCUGUGUAGCGGUGAAAUGCGUAGAUAUAGGAAGGAACACCAGUGGCGAAGGCGACCACCUGGACUGAUACUGACACUGAGGUGCGAAAGCGUGGGGAGCAAACAGGAUUAGAUACCCUGGUAGU
RNAcentral lists this ribosomal RNA (743 nucleotides) under uncultured bacterium. Its description in RNAcentral is "bacterial SSU rRNA". It matches the Rfam family "Bacterial small subunit ribosomal RNA", at positions 56 to 794 of the family's 1533-position model. The record is from RNAcentral.